Molecule: ribosomal RNA, 490 nt
Filed under: uncultured bacterium
Lineage: Bacteria
Description: partial 16S ribosomal RNA
Rfam family: Bacterial small subunit ribosomal RNA
Source: RNAcentral
AGUGAACGCUGGCGGCAGGCCUAACACAUGCCAGUCGAACGGCAGCACAAGAGAGCUUGCUCUCUGGGUGGCGAGUGGCGGACGGGUGAGGAAUGCAUCGGAAUCUGCCCAUUUGUGGGGGAUAACCUCGGGAAACCGGGACUAAUACCGCAUACGACCUACGGGUGAAAGCAGGGGAUCUUCGGACCUUGCGCAGAUGGAUGAGCCGAUGCCGGAUUAGCUAGUUGGAGGGGUAAAGGCCCACCAAGGCGACGAUCCGUAGCUGGUCUGAGAGGAUGAUCAGCCACACUGGGACUGAGACACGGCCCAGACUCCUACGGGAGGCAGCAGUGGGGAAUAUUGGGCAAUGGGCGCAAGCCUGAUCGAGCCAUGCCGCGUGUGUGAAGAAGGCCUUCGGGUUGUAAAGCUCUGUUGUUGGGAAAGAAAAGCAGCCGGUUAAUACCCGGUUGUCAUGACGGUACCCAAAGAAUAAGCACCGGCUAACUUCGUG